AACGAACGCUGGCGGCAUGCCUAACACAUGCAAGUCGAACGAGACCUUCGGGUCUAGUGGCGCACGGGUGCGUAACGCGUGGGAACCUGCCCUUAGGUUCGGAAUAACUCCCCGAAAGGGGUGCUAAUACCGGAUAAUGUCUUCGGACCAAAGAUUUAUCGCCUUUGGAUGGGCCCGCGUUGGAUUAGCUAGUUGGUAGGGUAAAAGCCUACCAAGGCGACGAUCCAUAGCUGGUCUGAGAGGAUGAUCAGCCACACUGGGACUGAGACACGGCCCAGACCCCUACGGGGGGCAGCAGUGGGGAAUAUUGGAAAAGGGGCGAAAGCCUGAUCCAGCAAUGCCGGGUGAGUGAUGAAGGCCUUAGGGUUGUAAAGCUCUUUUCCCCGGGAUGAUAAUGACAGUACCGGGAGAAAAAGCCCCGGCUAACCCCGU
Molecule: ribosomal RNA, 432 nt
Filed under: uncultured bacterium
Lineage: Bacteria
Description: partial 16S ribosomal RNA
Rfam family: Bacterial small subunit ribosomal RNA
Source: RNAcentral